AGAUAAAGAAUUUACACUUGAAUCUCGAUCGUCGUACGGGUUUUGUCAAGGGCUAUGCUCUAAUUGAAUUUGAGAAGUUUGAGGAGGCACAGAGAGCCAUAAAUGAGAUGAAUGGAACUGAACUCCUAACCCAGACCAUGAAUGUUGACUGGGCGUUCAGCAAAGGUCCAUUCAGAAGAAGGAACAUUAGGAGGAGAUCACCUCGGGGUCAUCAUUCCAGGAGUCCAAGAAGGAGAUUCUGAUCAUGGUGGCAUGUGAGAGUUUUUGGCACUUUGAUUUAGAGUGAAGAUACAAAUGUGAAUCUUUGUUAACUUUUAACAAUGUGUACGAUUGUUGUUUCUGU
Molecule: long non-coding RNA, 343 nt
Organism: Salvia miltiorrhiza (redroot sage)
Lineage: Eukaryota; Viridiplantae; Streptophyta; Magnoliopsida; Lamiales; Lamiaceae
Exons: 3
Source: RefSeq, a predicted model, not a curated record